UCACUCCUGCAGCUUAAGGGAUGUGUUUUGGUCUUCUGAACAACCUACCUGAGCUAGCUCAUCAAAAUUCCACCCACCAGCUGCUAGGGGAAAAAAUAGCACGCAAAUGGCUGUUUGUGGCAUCAGGUUCAUCAGAAUGUCGCUAGAACUCUGAGCAUCAUAGGGGAGCGGUGGAAGGAGGCUUCGUCCUUAAAAGAGAAGUCUUUCUUUUCUUAUCAGAGCACACAGGAGCUCAUGGUCUCACGUGAGGCAUCUGUGAUCAUUCUUUCAUCUUUUAGAGUUGGCCUUUAAAAAUAUCUGUCUAUGCCUAGACGGGACGGACACCCAUUGACAUUUAAACGUCAGAAAACGACGCAAUAUGAGGAAAUAAUUACUGAUACAUUAGUGGCUCUGCUCAAUGGCUAACGAAGCAGCUUCUAUCACAGCCUGCUAGGGAGCUGCCCAUCACUGUUUCUGAAGGCUCGAAACACUUUCACAAUAAGUUGCUUCAGUAAUUACCCCACCGGACAUUAAGCCAUCCAUCCUUGGUGCUAAAGACCUCGCACGAGAGACCGCUCAGCGCAAUCUUUAUGGCUGUUAAGGAUGAACUGAGCUAAUGUAUCUGAAGCAAGUAUAAAAGUGAAAAUGGAUGUAUCUGCACAAUCCACAAUCUCUUUUGAUAAAAAAAAAAAGAGAGAGGAAAUUCAAAUCCCUUAUAUAAAGCAAUUUCAAGCCUACAGAACGAACAGAAAUAAACACAUGCGAUUCCUGAAGGAGAGAUAAGAAAGAUGUUUAUUUCCAGGGCACAGUCCUGUCCUAAUGGAGCCUUUAUGAAGAUCAAUGUUGGAAUUUAAUCUUGGUUUGUCUUACCUUCCAUAAGUGAAAUAAAAUUGGAUUGUCAUUGGAGGCUUA
Molecule: long non-coding RNA, 891 nt
Organism: Felis catus (domestic cat)
Lineage: Eukaryota; Metazoa; Chordata; Mammalia; Carnivora; Felidae
Exons: 2
Source: RefSeq, a predicted model, not a curated record